RNAcentral lists this ribosomal RNA (491 nucleotides) under uncultured Methanosaeta sp. RNAcentral's name for it is "bacterial SSU rRNA". It matches the Rfam family "Bacterial small subunit ribosomal RNA", at positions 897 to 1382 of the family's 1533-position model. Lineage: Archaea; Methanobacteriati; Methanobacteriota; Methanomicrobia; Methanotrichales; Methanotrichaceae. The record is from RNAcentral.
AAACUCAAAGGAAUUGACGGGGCCGCACAAGCGGUGGAGCAUGUGGUUUAAUUCGAUGAUACGCGAAGAACCUUACCGGGUUUGACAUGCAGGUGAUCGCCGUUGAAAGACGGUUUCCUCUUCGGAGGCACCUGCACAGGUGGUGCAUGGCCGUCGUCAGUUCGUACUGUGAAGCAUCCUGUUAAGUCAGGCAACGAGCGAGACCCACGCCCACAGUUGCCAGCGUACUCUCUGGAGUGACGGGUACACUGUGGGGACCGCCGCUGCUAAAGCGGAGGAAGGAAUGGGCAACGGUAGGUCAGUAUGCCCCGAAUAUCCCGGGCUACACGCGAGCUACAAUGGUUGGUACAAUGGGUAUCUACCCCGAAAGGGGACGGGAAUCUCCUAAAACCAAUCUUAGUUCGGAUUGAGGGCUGCAACUCGCCCUCAUGAAGCUGGAAUCCGUAGUAAUCGCGUUUCAACAGAACGCGGUGAAUACGUCCCUGCUCCUU